UUGCUCUUUCCGGAUGAGUUGCGAACGGGUGAGUAACGCGUAGGUAACCUGCCUGGUAGCGGGGGAUAACUAUUGGAAACGAUAGCUAAUACCGCAUAACAGUAGAUAUCGCAUGAUAGCUGCUUAAAAGGUGCAAUUGCACCACUACCAGAUGGACCUGCGUUGUAUUAGCUAGUUGGUGAGGUAACGGCUCACCAAGGCAACGAUACAUAGCCGACCUGAGAGGGUGAUCGGCCACACUGGGACUGAGACACGGCCCAGACUCCUACGGGAGGCAGCAGUAGGGAAUCUUCGGCAAUGGACGGAAGUCUGACCGAGCAACGCCGCGUGAGUGAAGAAGGUUUUCGGAUCGUAAAGCUCUGUUGUAAGAGAAGAACGAGUGUGAGAGUGGAAAGUUCACACUGUGACGGUAUCUUACCAGAAAGGGACGGCUAACUACGUGCCAGCAGCCGCGGUAAUACGUAGGUCCCGAGCGUUGUCCGGAUUUAUUGGGCGUAAAGCGAGCGCAGGCGGUUAGAUAAGUCUGAAGUUAAAGGCUGUGGCUUAACCAUAGUACGCUUUGGAAACUGUUUAACUUGAGUGCAAGAGGGGAGAGUGGAAUUCCAUGUGUAGCGGUGAAAUGCGUAGAUAUAUGGAGGAACACCGGUGGCGAAAGC
This 656-nucleotide ribosomal RNA is filed under the name uncultured Bacilli bacterium. RNAcentral's name for it is "bacterial SSU rRNA". It matches the Rfam family "Bacterial small subunit ribosomal RNA", at positions 80 to 722 of the family's 1533-position model. Lineage: Bacteria; Bacillati; Bacillota; Bacilli. The record is from RNAcentral.